UUCCGGUUGAUCCUGCCGGAAGUCAUUGCUAUCGGGGUCCGAUUUAGCCAUGCUAGUUGUGCGGGUUUAGACCCGCAGCAAAUAGCUCCGUAACACGUGGCCAAACUGCCCUAUGGAGAGGAAUAACCUCGGGAAACUGAGGCUAACGCCUCAUACGGCUUCACAGCUGGAAUGCGUGAAGCCCGAAACGUUCCGACGCCAUAGGAUGUGGCUGCGGCCGAUUAGGUAGACGGUGGGGUAACGGCCCACCGUGCCGAUAAUCGGUACGGGUUGUGAGAGCAAGAACCCGGAGACGGAAUCUGAGACAAGAUUCCGGGCCCUACGGGGCGCAGCAGGCGCGAAACCUUUACACUGCACGCCAGUGCGAUAAGGGGACCCCGAGUGCGAGGGCAUACAGUCCUCGCUUUUCUGAACGGUAAGGACGUUCAGGAACAAGUGCUGGGCAAGACCGGUGCCAGCCGCCGCGGAAAUACCGGCAGCACGAGUGAUGACCGAUUUUAUUGGGCCUAAAGCGUCCGUAGCUGGCCGCACAAGUUCGUCGGGAAAUCCACCAGCUCAACUGGUGGGCGUCCGGCGAAAACUGUGUGGCUUGGGACCGGAAGACCCAAGGGGUACGUCCGGGGUAGGAGUGAAAUCCCGUAAUCCCGGACGGACCGCCGAUGGCGAAAGCACCUUGGGAAGACGGAUCCGACAGUGAGGGACGAAAGCUGGGGGUCUCGAACCGGAUUAGAUACCCGGGUAGUCCCAGCCGUAAACGAUGUCUGCUAGGUGUGGCACUGGCUACGAGCCAGUGCUGUGCCGUAGGGAAGCCGUGAAGCAGACCGCCUGGGAAGUACGUCUGCAAGGAUGAAACUUAAAGGAAUUGGCGGGGGAGCACUACAACCGGAGGAGCCUGCGGUUUAAUUGGACUCAACGCCGGA
This 920-nucleotide ribosomal RNA is filed under the name uncultured archaeon. RNAcentral's name for it is "bacterial SSU rRNA". It matches the Rfam family "Archaeal small subunit ribosomal RNA", at positions 1 to 922 of the family's 1478-position model. The record is from RNAcentral.